Molecule: transfer-messenger RNA, 371 nt
Filed under: Cohaesibacter gelatinilyticus
Lineage: Bacteria; Pseudomonadati; Pseudomonadota; Alphaproteobacteria; Hyphomicrobiales; Cohaesibacteraceae
Also listed under: 1 other name
Description: Alphaproteobacteria transfer-messenger RNA
Rfam family: Alphaproteobacteria transfer-messenger RNA
About the family: Bacterial tmRNA, also known as 10Sa RNA or SsrA, is named for its dual tRNA and mRNA-like properties. Its role is to liberate the mRNA from a stalled ribosome. To accomplish this part of the tmRNA is used as a reading frame that ends in a translation stop signal.
Source: Rfam by way of RNAcentral
CCCCUUUCUUUCCCGUAAGCCGCACCCUAUAUUCAAAAUGUCACUCACGUGACUAUGGCAAUAAAUGGCCUCUGUAAUAAGCCUAUCGGACCCGGGGGCGGUACCCGGCGCCUCCACCAUAAGAACCGUCUUCUCCAUCAGAGAGUUGGCGAUUUUUAUGAUGGGGGCGAAAUAGGAUCGACGAGGGUGUAAAAAUUGUGUUUUUGCUCGGCAUUGUACCACCGUUAUCGGGCUAAUUUUGUAGUUGCAAACGACAACUAUGCAGGGUCACGCCUCGCUGCUGCUUAAGCAGUGCGGUAACCCACUGAACUCCUAGUCGGUUUGCUCGGCUAGGCGGGGUUCGGAGGCACCUGGCAACAGAAGCCUCCACU